This 2987-nucleotide ribosomal RNA is filed under the name Salmonella enterica. Its description in RNAcentral is "23S ribosomal RNA". It matches the Rfam family "Bacterial large subunit ribosomal RNA". The record is from RNAcentral. RNAcentral also lists the same sequence under 1 other name. Lineage: Bacteria; Pseudomonadati; Pseudomonadota; Gammaproteobacteria; Enterobacterales; Enterobacteriaceae.
GGUUAAGCGACUAAGCGUACACGGUGGAUGCCCUGGCAGUCAGAGGCGAUGAAGGGCGUGCUAAUCUGCGAUAAGCGCCGGUAAGGUGAUAUGAACCGUUAUAACCGGCGAUACCCGAAUGGGGAAACCCAGUGUGAUUCGUCACACUAUCAUUAACUGAAUCCAUAGGUUAAUGAGGCGAACCGGGGGAACUGAAACAUCUAAGUACCCCGAGGAAAAGAAAUCAACCGAGAUUCCCCCAGUAGCGGCGAGCGAACGGGGAGGAGCCCAGAGCCUGAAUCAGCAUGUGUGUUAGUGGAAGCGUCUGGAAAGGCGCGCGAUACAGGGUGACAGCCCCGUACACAAAAGCGCAUGUGCUGUGAGCUCGAUGAGUAGGGCGGGACACGUGGUAUCCUGUCUGAAUAUGGGGGGACCAUCCUCCAAGGCUAAAUACUCCUGACUGACCGAUAGUGAACCAGUACCGUGAGGGAAAGGCGAAAAGAACCCCGGCGAGGGGAGUGAAAAAGAACCUGAAACCGUGUACGUACAAGCAGUGGGAGCACAGGUUUACCUGUGUGACUGCGUACCUUUUGUAUAAUGGGUCAGCGACUUAUAUUCUGUAGCAAGGUUAACCGAAUAGGGGAGCCGGAGGGAAACCGAGUCUUAAUUGGGCGUUAAGUUGCAGGGUAUAGACCCGAAACCCGGUGAUCUAGCCAUGGGCAGGUUGAAGGUUGGGUAACACUAACUGGAGGACCGAACCGACUAAUGUUGAAAAAUUAGCGGAUGACCUGUGGCUGGGGGUGAAAGGCCAAUCAAACCGGGAGAUAGCUGGUUCUCCCCGAAAGCUAUUUAGGUAGCGCCUCGUGAAUUCAUCUCCGGGGGUAGAGCACUGUUUCGGCUAGGGGGCCAUCCCGGCUUACCAACCCGAUGCAAACUGCGAAUACCGGAGAAUGUUAUCACGGGAGACACACGGCGGGUGCUAACGUCCGUCGUGAAGAGGGAAACAACCCAGACCGCCAGCUAAGGUCCCAAAGUCAUGGUUAAGUGGGAAACGAUGUGGGAAGGCCCAGACAGCCAGGAUGUUGGCUUAGAAGCAGCCAUCAUUUAAAGAAAGCGUAAUAGCUCACUGGUCGAGUCGGCCUGCGCGGAAGAUGUAACGGGGCUAAACCAUGCACCGAAGCUGCGGCAGCGAACGUAUCACUUAAAGCGAUUCAGCGGAUGACGAUUGACGGAGCGAAGCGACGUCAAAGCGUAUACAAAGUCGAGUCGGUUUAAGGAUACGUUCGUUGGGUAGGGGAGCGUUCUGUAAGCCUGUGAAGGUGGCCUGUGAGGGUUGCUGGAGGUAUCAGAAGUGCGAAUGCUGACAUAAGUAACGAUAAAGCGGGUGAAAAGCCCGCUCGCCGGAAGACCAAGGGUUCCUGUCCAACGUUAAUCGGGGCAGGGUGAGUCGACCCCUAAGGCGAGGCCGAAAGGCGUAGUCGAUGGGAAACAGGUUAAUAUUCCUGUACUUGGUGUUACUGCGAAGGGGGGACGGAGAAGGCUAUGUUGGCCGGGCGACGGUUGUCCCGGUUUAAGCGUGUAGGCUGGUUUUCCAGGCAAAUCCGGAAAAUCAAGGCUGAGGCGUGAUGACGAGGCACUACGGUGCUGAAGCAACAAAUGCCCUGCUUCCAGGAAAAGCCUCUAAGCAUCAGGUAACAUCAAAUCGUACCCCAAACCGACACAGGUGGUCAGGUAGAGAAUACCAAGGCGCUUGAGAGAACUCGGGUGAAGGAACUAGGCAAAAUGGUGCCGUAACUUCGGGAGAAGGCACGCUGACACGUAGGUGAAGUGAUUUACUCAUGGAGCUGAAGUCAGUCGAAGAUACCAGCUGGCUGCAACUGUUUAUUAAAAACACAGCACUGUGCAAACACGAAAGUGGACGUAUACGGUGUGACGCCUGCCCGGUGCCGGAAGGUUAAUUGAUGGGGUCAGCGCAAGCGAAGCUCCUGAUCGAAGCCCCGGUAAACGGCGGCCGUAACUAUAACGGUCCUAAGGUAGCGAAAUUCCUUGUCGGGUAAGUUCCGACCUGCACGAAUGGCGUAAUGAUGGCCAGGCUGUCUCCACCCGAGACUCAGUGAAAUUGAACUCGCUGUGAAGAUGCAGUGUACCCGCGGCAAGACGGAAAGACCCCGUGAACCUUUACUAUAGCUUGACACUGAACAUUGAGCCUUGAUGUGUAGGAUAGGUGGGAGGCUUUGAAGUGUGGACGCCAGUCUGCAUGGAGCCGACCUUGAAAUACCACCCUUUAAUGUUUGAUGUUCUAACGUGGACCCGUAAUCCGGGUUGCGGACAGUGUCUGGUGGGUAGUUUGACUGGGGCGGUCUCCUCCUAAAGAGUAACGGAGGAGCACGAAGGUUGGCUAAUCCUGGUCGGACAUCAGGAGGUUAGUGCAAUGGCAUAAGCCAGCUUGACUGCGAGCGUGACGGCGCGAGCAGGUGCGAAAGCAGGUCAUAGUGAUCCGGUGGUUCUGAAUGGAAGGGCCAUCGCUCAACGGAUAAAAGGUACUCCGGGGAUAACAGGCUGAUACCGCCCAAGAGUUCAUAUCGACGGCGGUGUUUGGCACCUCGAUGUCGGCUCAUCACAUCCUGGGGCUGAAGUAGGUCCCAAGGGUAUGGCUGUUCGCCAUUUAAAGUGGUACGCGAGCUGGGUUUAGAACGUCGUGAGACAGUUCGGUCCCUAUCUGCCGUGGGCGCUGGAGAACUGAGGGGGGCUGCUCCUAGUACGAGAGGACCGGAGUGGACGCAUCACUGGUGUUCGGGUUGUCAUGCCAAUGGCACUGCCCGGUAGCUAAAUGCGGAAGAGAUAAGUGCUGAAAGCAUCUAAGCACGAAACUUGCCCCGAGAUGAGUUCUCCCUGAGACUUAGAGUCUCCUGAAGGAACGUUGAAGACGACGACGUUGAUAGGCCGGGUGUGUAAGCGCAGCGAUGCGUUGAGCUAACCGGUACUAAUGAACCGUGAGGCUUAACCUU